UAUACGGCGGACGGGUGAGUAAUGCUUAGGAAUCUGCCUAUUAGUGGGGGACAACAUUCCGAAAGGAAUGCUAAUACCGCAUACGCCCUACGGGGGAAAGCAGGGGAUCUUCGGACCUUGCGCUAAUAGAUGAGCCUAAGUCAGAUUAGCUAGUUGGUGGGGUAAAGGCCUACCAAGGCGACGAUCUGUAGCGGGUCUGAGAGGAUGAUCCGCCACACUGGGACUGAGACACGGCCCAGACUCCUACGGGAGGCAGCAGUGGGGAAUAUUGGACAAUGGGCGAAAGCCUGAUCCAGCCAUGCCGCGUGUGUGAAGAAGGCCUUUUGGUUGUAAAGCACUUUAAGCGAGGAGGAGGCUACUUGGAUUAAUACUCUAGGAUAGUGGACGUUACUCGCAGAAUAAGCACCGGCUAACUCUGUGCCAGCAGCCGCGGUAAUACAGAGGGUGCGAGCGUUAAUCGGAUUUACUGGGCGUAAAGCGUGCGUAGGCGGCUUUUUAAGUCGGAUGUGAAAUCCCUGAGCUUAACUUAGGAAUUGCAUUCGAUACUGGGAAGCUAGAGUAUGGGAGAGGAUGGUAGAAUUCCAGGUGUAGCGGUGAAAUGCGUAGAGAUCUGGAGGAAUACCGAUGGCGAAGGCAGCCAUCUGGCCUAAUACUGACGCUGAGGUACGA
This 669-nucleotide ribosomal RNA is filed under the name Acinetobacter sp. EECC-419. Its description in RNAcentral is "bacterial SSU rRNA". It matches the Rfam family "Bacterial small subunit ribosomal RNA", at positions 92 to 756 of the family's 1533-position model. The record is from RNAcentral. Lineage: Bacteria; Pseudomonadati; Pseudomonadota; Gammaproteobacteria; Moraxellales; Moraxellaceae.